RNAcentral lists this long non-coding RNA (204 nucleotides) under Capsella grandiflora. RNAcentral describes it as "long non-coding RNA (CGRA_LNC001614)". Lineage: Eukaryota; Viridiplantae; Streptophyta; Magnoliopsida; Brassicales; Brassicaceae. The record is from RNAcentral.
AAAAAAGGAUCGUGCCUUUUCUCUCUCUCUCUCGAAACAUUUUUUUCUUCGGUUCUAUCGUCAAAAGAGACAGAGAAGGAAAUUUCAUCUCUGUGAUUUCAUCGAAGCUUUUGAGCUAUAAUCAUCUUGUUAUGUCUUGUAAUAGUUGCAUUGUCUUCAAGCUCCCAUUUCCGGCCCGAUCAAAUCUUCCCAGCUCAUCUAGGU